CGGAGGAUCCAAGCGUUAUCCGGAAUCAUUGGGUUUAAAGGGUCCGUAGGCGGUUUGGUAAGUCAGCGGUGAAAGCCCAUCGCUUAACGAUGGAACGGCCAUUGAUACUGCCAGACUUGAAUUACUGGGAAGUAACUAGAAUAUGUAGUGUAGCGGUGAAAUGCUUAGAUAUUACAUGGAAUACCAAUUGCGAAGGCAGGUUACUACCAGUGGAUUGACGCUGAUGGACGAAAGCGUGGGGAGCGAACAGGAUUAGAUACCCUGGUAGUCCACGCCGUAAACGAUGGAUACUAGCUGUUGGGAGCAAUCUCAGUGGCUAAGCGAAAGUGAUAAGUAUCCCACCUGGGGAGUACGAACGCAAGUUUG
This 366-nucleotide ribosomal RNA is filed under the name uncultured organism. Its description in RNAcentral is "bacterial SSU rRNA". It matches the Rfam family "Bacterial small subunit ribosomal RNA", at positions 526 to 896 of the family's 1533-position model. The record is from RNAcentral.